AGUGAACGCUGGCGGUAGGCCUACCCCAUGCAAGUCGAACGGCAGCUCAGUAAGAGCUUGCUCUUACGGGUGGCGCGUGGCGGACGGGUGAGGAAUAUAUCCGAAUUUACUUUUUCGUGGGGGGUAACGUGGGGGAACUUACGCUAAUACCGCAUACGACCUUCGGGUGAACGCAGGUGAUCUUCGGACCUUGCCCGCUGGAAUGAGCCGAUGUCGGAUUAGCUAGAUGGCGGGGUAGAGGCCCACCAAGGCGAUCACUCGUAGCUGGUCUAGGAGGGUGAUCAGCCACACUAGAACUCAGACACGGUCCAGACGCCUACACGAGGCAGCAGAGAGGAAUAUUGGACAAUGGGCGCAAGCCUGAUCCAGCCACGCCGCGUGGGUGAAGAAGGCCUUCGGGUUGUAAAGCCCUUUUGUUGGGAAAGAAAAGCAGCAGGUUAAUACCCCGCUGUUCUGACGGUACCCAAAGAAUAAGCACCGGCUAACUUCGUG
Molecule: ribosomal RNA, 492 nt
Filed under: uncultured bacterium
Lineage: Bacteria
Description: partial 16S ribosomal RNA
Rfam family: Bacterial small subunit ribosomal RNA
Source: RNAcentral